Helianthus annuus (common sunflower) is the source of this 376-nucleotide long non-coding RNA. RefSeq lists it as uncharacterized. The transcript is spliced from 4 exons. NCBI's taxonomy places the organism in Eukaryota, Viridiplantae, Streptophyta, Magnoliopsida, Asterales, Asteraceae. The record is from RefSeq and is a predicted model, not a curated record.
GGUAAGGCUGACAAAACACAAGAGAUGAUACAUGGAGAAAGGUGCGGAGAUGCCACUACAGAAAAAAGCUACAUAUGGAGUCAUAGGCAAUGAAGAAAAUGAGGCAGAACAUCAAGAGACGAUAACUACAACAACAAACAAGAACAACGAAACACAAAACAUGCAAGGAUUGUUUGAUGCGCCUACCUUUCACUGCUCACACAAGACACCGAAUUAGGUGAUGAUGUCGAUGAUACGCAUAAUACAGAAGCUUCCGUACCAACUAUGAUACAAAAAAAAGUGAUGACAAAAAUCAAGAAGGGAAGGGAACGGCUGAAAAUGAUAUCACACGUAAUGCUUGGGUAAAGGAACUUGAAUCAAGGCGAAGAAAACCAGU